Molecule: ribosomal RNA, 493 nt
Filed under: Lacticaseibacillus rhamnosus
Lineage: Bacteria; Bacillati; Bacillota; Bacilli; Lactobacillales; Lactobacillaceae
Description: bacterial SSU rRNA
Rfam family: Bacterial small subunit ribosomal RNA
Source: RNAcentral
UGCAGUCGAACGAGUUCUGAUUAUUGAAAGGUGCUUGCAUCUUGAUUUAAUUUUGAACGAGUGGCGGACGGGUGAGUAACACGUGGGUAACCUGCCCUUAAGUGGGGGAUAACAUUUGGAAACAGAUGCUAAUACCGCAUAAAUCCAAGAACCGCAUGGUUCUUGGCUGAAAGAUGGCGUAAGCUAUCGCUUUUGGAUGGACCCGCGGCGUAUUAGCUAGUUGGUGAGGUAACGGCUCACCAAGGCAAUGAUACGUAGCCGAACUGAGAGGUUGAUCGGCCACAUUGGGACUGAGACACGGCCCAAACUCCUACGGGAGGCAGCAGUAGGGAAUCUUCCACAAUGGACGCAAGUCUGAUGGAGCAACGCCGCGUGAGUGAAGAAGGCUUUCGGGUCGUAAAACUCUGUUGUUGGAGAAGAAUGGUCGGCAGAGUAACUGUUGUCGGCGUGACGGUAUCCAACCAGAAAGCCACGGCUAACUACGUGCCAGCAC